AGUGCCCCGUCAGACUCCUGCCUUGUGGUCCUCUUUCCUGCAGGUUGACGACACCAAGAUCGACCUCAAAGAACAUCACUGUCCAGUGGGCAAAGCAAUAAAUGCCACUCAGAGUCCUAGCUGCACCAACAGAGUGAGCGGACAAGGUAAACUUGUUCUGAGACAGGACCGCCCAGUACAACCACGGGUAAUCACAGGGGGCUUCCUGGGGUUACGUUGCUGCAGCUAACUCAUUUUGAGGUGCUCACUGGACAGACGAUGAGGCCAAGGACACUCUGGGCAGAAAAGUC
RNAcentral lists this long non-coding RNA (290 nucleotides) under Chinchilla lanigera (long-tailed chinchilla). RNAcentral describes it as "lncRNA (ENSCLAG00000026443.1)". The record is from RNAcentral. Lineage: Eukaryota; Metazoa; Chordata; Mammalia; Rodentia; Chinchillidae.